GCUCCGAAGCAGCUAUGGCUGCCCCCGGAGUGGCCAUUGCAUAGCAACAGCCCCUGUGAGAUUUCUCAAACGUUAAAACCCUCAUCAUAACCUGUUUACAAGAUUCACUGAAGCAUCGCUGUCUUCCUUCGCUCUGAGCAGCUUUCUUGUUUACGCCUGUGUUGCCUGCCUGUCCCAUCCCCGAGUGUGAUUUUCUUAUCUGUAGGGUUAAUUGCUCCAUUCUCGGAAUCUGACAUCGAGUCUAGAAUCCAAGAAAUAUUGGUCGAACAAAGGAAUUUUUAAUGAGAAAAAUAACAUAAAAGAUCCUGUUGUUUACUGGAAGACAAAUCUGCCGUAUUAUCAGAAGCUGAUUUUGAGCCGUCGAAGGACUCACAGGCGAGAAAUGAGGAGAUCAAGCUGACUUCCUGAAAAGAUACCACCGAAGGACUUGUGCAGAGAAAAUGCAUCUUCCUAGUCUAGGCGAGAAGACACAGAGUCAUCAGCACAGGGAAGCAGAGAUUGGCAGAGAAAGAGAACGAGCCCAUGAGCCAUCGGAGUCGUUUCUUCCUUUUCCUGACUUCAAAGCAACUCCUUUAAGCCCAACCCCAGAAGACUGCAUCAGGAAAGAAUGUGUGACCCUGCCCCCCAGGCUCUGCACACACUUGAGGUCGGCUCCCAUCACCGGCUGUCUUCCUCGCCCACGUAACCCUGUGCCAUGGGUUAGAUUCAAAGGUACCAUCAAAAGGACCUGACUAAUGCUUGUCUAAGGCUUUCACCGGAGACAAAGACCCUGACAAAAACAAAGAAACAGAUUUGAAUGCCUGAUGUGUCAUCCACUACUGUGAAGUUCAAGACCCUGCCACCAAAAUCUGUUCUGUAGAAAGGGACUCGAUAGUUUCUCAGGAAAUAUCUACCAUGGCUUCUUCAGACUUCAUCCUUGGUUGCUGUGGGGAUGCAGCUGACCUGUCAUCAGGUUGUUCAGUGGGCUAGCCAAAGCACUUCUGAGGUUUGAGAAUGAGUGAUGAGUAAUGUAGUAAGGAAAUGCAGUGAAGAGAACUGCGAGGAAAGUAGGAAAUCACUGUGACUUGUUAAUUUUAAGUGCUUGUUAAUAUUAGCUGAUUAAUUUGAAAUGUUUAAUAGAGUAGAAAUGGGCAAUCUGUUGUCUCAGAGAUAUGAAUGAUUGCCAUCAAAGUGGUCAAUGAGAAAGAAAAUGGCAUACUUUGGAGUUACUUCCAACUCUAUCGAUUGUUUUUGAGACUCUGAGCCAAACCUUGUGGAUUUCUAUAGCAACCUCACCCCCCUCCUCCCAUCUUGAGAUAAAGAAGUCUUAAGUUC
Molecule: long non-coding RNA, 1314 nt
Organism: Mesocricetus auratus (golden hamster)
Lineage: Eukaryota; Metazoa; Chordata; Mammalia; Rodentia; Cricetidae
Exons: 5
Source: RefSeq, a predicted model, not a curated record